UUAACACAUGCAAGUCGAACGAUGAAGCCUUUCGGGGUGGAUUAGUGGCGAACGGGUGAGUAACACGUGGGCAAUCUGCCCUUCACUCUGGGACAAGCCCUGGAAACGGGGUCUAAUACCGGAUAACACUUCGUUCCGCAUGGAUCGGGGUUGAAAGCUCCGGCGGUGAAGGAUGAGCCCGCGGCCUAUCAGCUUGUUGGUGGGGUAAUGGCCUACCAAGGCGACGACGGGUAGCCGGCCUGAGAGGGCGACCGGCCACACUGGGACUGAGACACGGCCCAGACUCCUACGGGAGGCAGCAGUGGGGAAUAUUGCACAAUGGGCGAAAGCCUGAUGCAGCGACGCCGCGUGAGGGAUGACGGCCUUCGGGUUGUAAACCUCUUUCAGCAGGGAAGAAGCGCAAGUGACGGUACCUGCAGAAGAAGCGCCGGCUAACUACGUGCCAGCAGCCGCGGUAAUACGUAGGGCGCAAGCGUUGUCCGGAAUUAUUGGGCGUAAAGAGCUCGUAGGCGGCUUGUCACGUCGGAUGUGAAAGCCCGGGGCUUAACCCCGGGUCUGCAUUCGAUACGGGCUAGCUAGAGUGUGGUAGGGGAGAUCGGAAUUCCUGGUGUAGCGGUGAAAUGCGCAGAUAUCAGGAGGAACACCGGUGGCGAAGGCGGAUCUCUGGGCCAUUACUGACGCUGAGGAGCGAAAGCGUGGGGAGCGAACAGGAUUAGAUACCCUGGUAGUCCACGCCGUAAACGUUGGGAACUAGGUG
This 757-nucleotide ribosomal RNA is filed under the name Streptomycetaceae bacterium. RNAcentral describes it as "bacterial SSU rRNA". It matches the Rfam family "Bacterial small subunit ribosomal RNA", at positions 48 to 822 of the family's 1533-position model. Lineage: Bacteria; Bacillati; Actinomycetota; Actinomycetes; Kitasatosporales; Streptomycetaceae. The record is from RNAcentral.